RNAcentral lists this ribosomal RNA (59 nucleotides) under uncultured Pyramimonadales. RNAcentral describes it as "partial Bacterial small subunit ribosomal RNA". Lineage: Eukaryota; Viridiplantae; Chlorophyta; Pyramimonadophyceae; Pyramimonadales. The record is from RNAcentral.
UUGGUUUAAUGCGAUGCAAUGCGAAGAACCUUACUAGGGCUUCACAUGCACGUGAAAAG